AGAGUUAAAUAGUACGUGAAAUUGUUGAAAGGGAAACGAUUGAAGUCAGUCAUGCUAAUAGGGAAUCAACUUGAUGGUUUGUUCCCCCGGGAGCAAUCUUUCUUGUGCACUUUCUUAUUCGGCAGGUUAGCAUCAAUUUCGGUUGUCAUCAAAAAAUUGGGGGAAUGUGACUUCUUUCGGGAAGUGUUAUAGACCUUGAUAUAUGUGAUAAUCGGGAUUGAGGAUUGCAGCGGAUGCUUUUGGGCUAGUCAUCUACCUUCUGACGGUUACCUCGCUUUCGAUAGCUUGCUAACGAUUGUGGGAUUCAACAGUCUAGAUGUUGGAGUGAUCUUAUAUUCGCUAAGGAUGCUGACGUAAUGGCUUUAAACGA
RNAcentral lists this unclassified non-coding RNA (370 nucleotides) under uncultured Glomeromycotina. RNAcentral's name for it is "sequence contains 28S rRNA gene". Lineage: Eukaryota; Fungi; Glomeromycota. The record is from RNAcentral.